GGAGUGUCAUCAGCGGGGCACAUCUGGGGUUUUUCAUCGUGCGUUUUGCGUUGGCCUCAGGUUCACUGCAUGAGGCUGGUGGACACAUGCACUGUGCGCUCCUCCCUAUAAACAUCACUGAGUGUAUCAGAGUGGGAGGAGCUGCUACCCCGUUUUGAACUGAUGAUUUCUCCUUAUCAACAGAUUAAAAAUACCAGAUCUCAUCGCUAAGUGGUUGUGUGGUCCUUGUGGGUGAGGUUGUCCGUUCCAGACAUGCUACAUAAAUUUGGUGCCGUGACCCGGAUGCACUAGAUCCGCUGCAGCUGAUCGCUGGGGUUCAACAACGUAUGAUCACAACGCAGAAAUCGACGGCCGAAGCAUCUUCAUUAUUGACAUUCUGGUAACAGUGUCUGGACAUUAACAGUAAU
Molecule: long non-coding RNA, 407 nt
Organism: Silurus meridionalis
Lineage: Eukaryota; Metazoa; Chordata; Actinopteri; Siluriformes; Siluridae
Exons: 3
Source: RefSeq, a predicted model, not a curated record